GUGCCUACGAGGCAGCAGUGGGGAAUAUUGCACAAUGGGGGAAACCCUGAUGCAGCGACGCCGCGUGAGUGAAGAAGUAUUUCGGUACGUAAAGCUCUAUCAGCAGGGAAGAAAAUGACGGUACCUGACUAAGAAGCCCCGGCUAACUACGUGCCAGCAGCCGCGGUAAUACGUAGGGGGCAAGCGUUAUCCGGAUUUACUGGGUGUAAAGGGAGCGUAGACGGCAGCGCAAGUCUGGAGUGAAAUGCCGGGGCUCAACCCCGGAACUGCUUUGGAAACUGUGCAGCUAGAGUGCGGGCGCGGUA
This 305-nucleotide ribosomal RNA is filed under the name uncultured bacterium. RNAcentral describes it as "bacterial SSU rRNA". It matches the Rfam family "Bacterial small subunit ribosomal RNA", at positions 335 to 659 of the family's 1533-position model. The record is from RNAcentral.